CUGGUGGCGAGUGGCGAACGGGUGAGUAAUACAUCGGAACGUAUCCUGUAGCGGGGGAUAACCUCUCGAAAGAGAGGCUAAUACCGCAUACGUCCUACGGGAGAAAGAGGGGGAUCGCAAGACCUCUCACUAUAGGAGCGGCCGAUGUCGGAUUAGCUAGUUGGUGGGGUAAAAGCUCACCAAGGCGACGAUCCGUAGCUGGUCUGAGAGGACGACCAGCCACACUGGAACUGAGACACGGUCCAGACACCUACGGGUGGCAGCAGUCGAGAAUUUUUCUCAAUGGGGGCAACCCUGAAGGAGCGACGCCGCGUGGAGGAUGAAGGCUUUCGGGUUGUAAACUCCUGUCAUUUGGGAACAAGGUGCACAUGUUAACUGCGUGUGCAUGAUAGU
RNAcentral lists this ribosomal RNA (393 nucleotides) under uncultured bacterium. RNAcentral describes it as "bacterial SSU rRNA". It matches the Rfam family "Bacterial small subunit ribosomal RNA", at positions 85 to 476 of the family's 1533-position model. The record is from RNAcentral.